UAAUACAGAGGGGGCAAGCGUUAUUCGGAAUUAUUGGGCGUAAAGGGCGCGUAGGCGGCUUUUCAAGUGACGGGUGAAAUCCCUCGGCUUAACCGAGGAACUGCCUGUCAGACUGGAAGGCUUGAGACCGGGAGAGGUGAGUGGAAUUCCCAGUGUAGCGGUGAAAUGCGUAGAUAUUGGGAGGAA
Molecule: ribosomal RNA, 186 nt
Filed under: uncultured bacterium
Lineage: Bacteria
Description: partial 16S ribosomal RNA
Rfam family: Bacterial small subunit ribosomal RNA
Source: RNAcentral